ACAAAACUGUCAUGACUUCCCACAACUUUAAUAGAGCACAUUACCUUCUGUUACAUAAUAGUUGGAUAUUAUCUCAGGCUACGACAAAUUACCUAAUGCUACACGAGUCCCCAUUUCACUGCCUUAUGCACUAUGACUAAUAAAGUAGAUCUGAAUCAUCUUCCCAGGAUUUUAAGAAUUAAUGAGCUACAUUUGUUGUUCAUGACUUCCAUGUGUCACCAUUAUUCCCUGUUGAGUUUAUCCUCAGCACAGGCAGACGCUGUCGCAAUGUUUAGCAUUUUUAUUAGUGUUUUAUUGUUUCAGUAUUUUAAUCAGUUUUUAAUCUUUUGUCUUUAUAAUGGCGUCCUCCUUUAAGCUUUAUCAAGAAUCCUCAGACACGGAUGUCCUUGAAAGAUUAACGUAUGUAUCAUCUAUAAUCCAUUUGUUUGUCCCUACAAUGACAAUGGUGCCUUCAAUCCACAAGGCUACACAUGAGUUUGAAUACUAAAAAGCCUGUGCACACACACACAAGGAGCUUAAACAGUGUGUACUAGCUGGCUCUGUGUUUAAUGUUUCAUUCAUAUGUUGGUGAUUAAUGAGCCAGCAACACAGAAACAGGAACUCUGGGAAAGGUAACGAGUAAACACGCUUGCCUCCGUCGUUAAAUGUGUUUGUAGGUUAGCGCUAAAGCAAAUACAAUGGAGAGAUAGCAUCGCUCAGGGAGCGGCCGUGCCUUUGUAACCAGGACCUGGUGAUCUCACAGCUGCACACAGGGAAAUCCACACAGACACAGCCAUAAGGCAGUGUAGGAAGACAGCUUGUUCAUCGCUUGGUUUUCGGGGGGCAGUAUAAUAUGAUUUCUUCCCCUAAUUCCCCUACUUACAAAAAAGACACACACACACACACACACACACACACACACACACACACACACACACACACACACAUCUGAAACACCUCAUACUGUGCAUCACUCAGCCCAUCAUGUGCAUCCAUUCCUAUCAAGUUCAUUUGUUUUGUCUGUGUGUGUGUGGAUACAGUGGACCUUAUGUGGUGCCUCAUUGUGGGUGGUAUCCUGUGACACUACGUGUAAAAGGGUUUUUUAAUGGAAGGUUUAUUGAUUUUUUUUUUUUUUUUUUUAAUCAAAAAUGAAACUGAAAAUCAUAAUGGCUAACACAUUGGACUGUGUUGCUUGGCGGUCGUCAUGGUGAUCAACGUUUAACAUGUAGUAUUAACUUGUCUUUGGUGUUUGUUUCUUUUGCUACAUUUUCUCUUCAGUUUAGUUUAUGUCUGUUUAAGUUCAUAUUUAUUUCCACAUUUGUGCUCCGAGUUUGGACGAAUGUUUUCCAGAACUCUUACGCCUGAUCUGAUUUAAUUAAAAAUGUGAUAGGUUAAUUCCUCUCCAAGUUGCUGUCA
Clupea harengus (Atlantic herring) is the source of this 1395-nucleotide long non-coding RNA. RefSeq lists it as uncharacterized. Lineage: Eukaryota; Metazoa; Chordata; Actinopteri; Clupeiformes; Clupeidae. The transcript is spliced from 2 exons. The record is from RefSeq and is a predicted model, not a curated record.